UUUACGGAGAGUUUGAUCCUGGCUCAGGACGAACGCUGGCGGCGUGCUUAACACAUGCAAGUCGAACGAUGAAGCCCAGCUUGCUGGGUGGAUUAGUGGCGAACGGGUGAGUAACACGUGAGCAACGUGCCCAUAACUCUGGGAUAACCUCCGGAAACGGUGGCUAAUACUGGAUAUCUAACACGAUCGCAUGGUCUGUGUUUGGAAAGACUUUUUGGUUAUGGAUCGGCUCACGGCCUAUCAGCUUGUUGGUGAGGUAAUGGCUCACCAAGGCGACGACGGGUAGCCGGCCUGAGAGGGUGACCGGCCACACUGGGACUGAGACACGGCCCAGACUCCUACGGGAGGCAGCAGUGGGGAAUAUUGCACAAUGGGCGAAAGCCUGAUGCAGCAACGCCGCGUGAGGGAUGACGGCCUUCGGGUUGUAAACCUCUUUUAGUAGGGAAGAAGCGAAAGUGACGGUACCUGCAGAAAAAGCACCGGCUAACUACGUGCCAGCAGCCGCGGUAAUACGUAGGGUGCAAGCGUUGUCCGGAAUUAUUGGGCGUAAAGAGCUCGUAGGCGGUUUGUCGCGUCUGCUGUGAAAUCCCGAGGCUCAACCUCGGGUCUGCAGUGGGUACGGGCAGACUAGAGUGUGGUAGGGGAGAUUGGAAUUCCUGGUGUAGCGGUGGAAUGCGCAGAUAUCAGGAGGAACACCGAUGGCGAAGGCAGAUCUCUGGGCCAUUACUGACGCUGAGGAGCGAAAGCAUGGGGAGCGAACAGGAUUAGAUACCCUGGUAGUCCAUGCCGUAAACGUUGGGCGCUAGAUGUGGGGACCAUUCCACGGUUUCCGUGUCGUAGCUAACGCAUUAAGCGCCCCGCCUGGGGAGUACGGCCGCAAGGCUAAAACUCAAAGGAAUUGACGGGGGCCCGCACAAGCGGCGGAGCAUGCGGAUUAAUUCGAUGCAACGCGAAGAACCUUACCAAGGCUUGACAUAUACCGGAAACGUUCAGAAAUGUUCGCCCCGCAAGGUCGGUAUACAGGUGGUGCAUGGUUGUCGUCAGCUCGUGUCGUGAGAUGUUGGGUUAAGUCCCGCAACGAGCGCAACCCUCGUCGUAUGUUGCCAGCACGUAAUGGUGGGAACUCAUAUGAGACUGCCGGGGUCAACUCGGAGGAAGGUGGGGAUGACGUCAAAUCAUCAUGCCCCUUAUGUCUUGGGCUUCACGCAUGCUACAAUGGCUGGUACAAUGGGCUGCAAUACCGCGAGGUGGAGCGAAUCCCAAAAAGCCAGUCUCAGUUCGGAUUGGGGUCUGCAACUCGACCCCAUGAAGUCGGAGUCGCUAGUAAUCGCAGAUCAGCAACGCUGCGGUGAAUACGUUCCCGGGCCUUGUACACACCGCCCGUCAAGUCAUGAAAGUCGGUAACACCCGAAGCCGGUGGCCUAACCUUUUGGAGGGAGCCGUCGAAGGUGGGAUCGGUAAUUAGGACUAAGUCGUAACAAGGUAGCCGUACCGGAAGGUGCGGCUGGAUCACCUCCUUUCUAAGGA
Molecule: ribosomal RNA, 1527 nt
Filed under: Pseudoclavibacter sp. RFBH5
Lineage: Bacteria; Bacillati; Actinomycetota; Actinomycetes; Micrococcales; Microbacteriaceae
Description: bacterial SSU rRNA
Rfam family: Bacterial small subunit ribosomal RNA
Source: RNAcentral